Molecule: unclassified non-coding RNA, 496 nt
Filed under: Hevea brasiliensis (rubber tree)
Lineage: Eukaryota; Viridiplantae; Streptophyta; Magnoliopsida; Malpighiales; Euphorbiaceae
Source: RNAcentral
GGCAUAUAUUAGUCCCUUAGUGUAUCCCCAAAAGGUCAAUUCAACCCUUUAAAAAAAUUUUAGGCUUAAUUAAGUCCCUCGUAUUUCAAUUUUAGCCAAAUAAAUCUUUUAUAUUAUAAUUUUAAUUUAAUUAACAAAAAGUUAUAUAGAAAUGUGAGACUCACAAAUAAUGAUAUCAUAUUAUUUAAUAAAAAAUAAUUCAUUUAAAAAUUAAAAAAAGUUUCAAUCAAUCACUCUCUCCCGAUCUCUAAACCCCUAUAUAUAUAUAUAUAUAUAAAGCUGAACUUUUAGUUCAAAUCGAAUUGAAUUACUCAAAUUAAAAAUUGAAUUUUCUAUAAAAAAAAAUAUAAUUAAAUCACACCGAACUUUCUAAGUUCGAUUGGAUUCAAAGCUGUCACAUUUGAACUCAAAUCAAAUGCCUAAUUUCUUCCCCAAAUAGCAUACCCUUAAUUUCUUAUCUCAUUUCCCAAACACAAUUACACAAAUCAUCCAUAAC